AAAAGAUAAUUUUUACUUCCCAAAAGUAAAUGGGAUCUUUAUACUGUAGGUUGCUGCAAAUAUCAAGAGGCAAUUUUGAAGAUAUGAGUUUAAGAAGAUAUGAGUUUAAGGGCUCCCCAGACCCAGGAAUAUGGUCUCAAAAAAGAGCUGGAAUUCACAGAGGAAACAGAAGAACAAGCACAUUAAAAACAGAUGAAGAGCAAAAGUUAUCAGUAUCACUAUUUACUGGUGCCAAGGUAUGGUUGACAUAUUGAAAAGAACCCUAUCAAACUUGAAAUCUGGUAGUAGUCUUAC
Molecule: long non-coding RNA, 294 nt
Filed under: Cyanistes caeruleus (blue tit)
Lineage: Eukaryota; Metazoa; Chordata; Aves; Passeriformes; Paridae
Description: lncRNA (ENSCCEG00000000827.1)
Source: RNAcentral